Molecule: long non-coding RNA, 631 nt
Filed under: Rattus norvegicus (Norway rat)
Lineage: Eukaryota; Metazoa; Chordata; Mammalia; Rodentia; Muridae
Description: long non-coding RNA NONRATT032593
Source: RNAcentral
UUAUUUCCUUGCCAGAUGCCAGGGGAGGGGUACUCUGCCUCACCAGAAGAGGACCUGGAAUUGCAUAACUACAAGGACAACUUGUGUGACUUCUAAAACAGGGCCCUACAUGGAAAAAUUAUUAUUCAUCUUUGGAGAGAACAUCUUGUCAAGUGGAGCUGUUCAACAAAACAAGGAAAACAUCUCUGCCAAAGCACAGCAAAUGUGAUUACCAAGCCAAGGAGAAGCCCAUAAUUAGAUCAUUUCCAUGGAAACAACCUAAUUACAUGUGUAAAGCAGUGAGAGCUGAGCUGUGCAUUGAAUAUGCUAAUACCAUUGUCUAUGUUGUAAUGUUUCUGCUACUUAGCUUCCCUCAAAUAUAAAAUAUAAACCGUGUAGAUAAACCCCAACUUCUUUUCUUUUUUUUCACUUAGCAAAGGGAAUAAAGACCCACUGUGCAUUGCAAAUGAAUGUAAUCCUGGGAUAUUUAACUGUUUAUCAUCAACACACACCUAUACCCUUAUAUGCUAAAGAAUGCCUUAAAUGAUAAUGUCAUGUAUAUUAAUAAUAAGUGUACAGUAUUAUGUAAGUAGCCAAAUGGCCAUAAGUGAGCAUUCUGUAAUUUCACAUAAUGUGUUAUUUAUAAAAACAA